This 206-nucleotide long non-coding RNA is filed under the name Elaeis guineensis (African oil palm). RNAcentral describes it as "long non-coding RNA (EGUI_LNC067128)". Lineage: Eukaryota; Viridiplantae; Streptophyta; Magnoliopsida; Arecales; Arecaceae. The record is from RNAcentral.
CGACUCCACUACUCCCUGACAGCUAGCGGCAACGGACGCCGCUCCACUACCUGCAACAGGCUCUACGUGGCAGGCCAUGACAAUAGCCACGGGUCUACUCCACUACCAUUCGCAAUAAAUUUCCCUGACCAUGGGCAGCCCACUACCAGACGGUUACAAAUAUCUCCAUCAAUCCGUUGCCUCCUCCGCCUAUAAAAGGGGGACCC